RNAcentral lists this non-coding RNA (32 nucleotides) under Homo sapiens (human). The record is from RNAcentral. Lineage: Eukaryota; Metazoa; Chordata; Mammalia; Primates; Hominidae.
UGGAAAACGAGGAUCCACAUGUGUAAAUAAAC